UACGAAGGGGGCUAGCGUUGCUCGGAAUCACUGGGCGUAAAGGGCGCGUAGGCGGCGUUUUAAGUCGGGGGUGAAAGCCUGUGGCUCAACCACAGAAUGGCCUUCGAUACUGGGACGCUUGAGUAUGGUAGAGGUUGGUGGAACUGCGAGUGUAGAGGUGAAAUUCGUAGAUAUUCGCAAGAACACCGGUGGCGAAGGCGGCCAGCUGGACCAUUACCGACGCUGAGGCGCGAAAGCGUGGGGAGCAAACAGG
Molecule: ribosomal RNA, 253 nt
Filed under: uncultured bacterium
Lineage: Bacteria
Description: partial 16S ribosomal RNA
Rfam family: Bacterial small subunit ribosomal RNA
Source: RNAcentral